Astatotilapia calliptera (eastern happy) is the source of this 1801-nucleotide long non-coding RNA. Lineage: Eukaryota; Metazoa; Chordata; Actinopteri; Cichliformes; Cichlidae. The record is from Ensembl.
CCAGACAGCAUUUUCUAUCUCCCAGCUGGAGUUUUUGUUUGUCUGUGACUGGAGAGUCAGAUUUUUGUUGAGCUUCACACUUGCAGACCUAAGUCAGUUUGCAGAGAUCCCUCCCACUCUGGCUUUUAUGUCCUAGAUUUCUUAUCUGAAACAGUAAUAUUUCAGUGACUGCUGCUUGUACCACAGGUUAAUACACGCUACUGAUCCCUGAUAGGAGAAUCAUCAAUUUUGGCAACAAAGAAGCCUGGUGGAUGUUUGUUUACAGUCUGAUGAUGGGACAUCAUGCUCUGCAUCGUCAAAGUUUGCCUCCUCAUUAUUAUUCAUACCCAGUAAUGUGAAGUAUGCUUAUAUCUACUAUAACUGAACCAACCUGGUGCUCUUCAUUUAUGGAGGCUGUUGAGUCUGAAUGUUGGAUGUUGUGUAUCUCGUGUUCUCUGGGCUUUGUUGUCCUCAGUCUUUUCGCAGGAUCAGAAAACAAAACCAGGAGGCGCGUAAAUGUUUCUUCAAAUGUUUCUUCUGGAUGAUGAUAAGACUGUGACACGGGAUGCCACCUUUGGUCUUGUGAUGAAGCAAAGCUCAGGAAGAAGUGGGAUUAAAUGGUACCCACAUGUGUGCUGCUGAGAAGGAUGUACAGGGGCACCUGCAGCCAAAUCCAAGCCUCAGCAGUUUGUGCUCACAGAUGGUGACGGUGUGGAGAGACGGUGGUGUUUCCUCAGAAGAACCAGCAGAGUCACUUGCUGACUGAUGCUCAUCUGCACUGCACAGAGGAAAUCAACUGACCGAGGAGUGUUUCUGAGUGAGGGGGAGAAGAGUCAUCAUCCAGGUAAAGUGACGUAGAUCAGUGGAUACACUUGUCUCCCCUUUAAAGGAGACAAUCCAAGUCAUCCUUAAAUAUGGGCAGCAUAUCAGUCUUGGACUGUCUAACCUGCCGGAGCAGCACUGAAUGACCACCACACAUGAGCAUGUUCCUGCAACAUUCAGCAUCUGAUCCUUCAUCUGUGUGCUUCUGCUUUUGGUAAGUAGAGUUACCCAACUCCAGUAACUCUACACACAUGCCAUCCAUUUCUGACGGCCUGGUUACUUCCUGUCAGUUACUUUAGAAACCAUGUGGUCACCUGACCUAACACUAUUCAAGUGUCACAUGUCAAACAGCUGGAGAGGAAACUACACCAGUGUACUGGGAUGUUUCACCAACACGUGCCAGAUGCUGUUCCUUCAUGGUGACAUCACAGAGACAGCCCCACCCACCUCAGGACCUCGCCAUUUAUCAUGAUGAUUAUAAUGAUGACAGCGAGCGGAACUAAGACUGUAAAAAUCCACGACCAGAAUUUUUCUUUCUAAUUAUUAAUGAAUACUGAGAGCCUCUUUCUGUGUUUUGUAUGUUUUGGGGUUGUUUUUUUUUUACCUCAUUUGUUACUAACAAAGUUCACCAAACUCACACAGUUUACAUUCUGUAUGUUUCCAUCUUUACCAGCCACACUCUAAUUGCAUUUAAGAAAAUAAUCCUUAGAAAUCGUCAUUUUUCUCUUUUGUAAUUGAUGAUAAUUCAGUGAAUAUAAGAUAAGAUAAGAUAACUCUUUAUUGUCAUUGCACAGUCAUACAUAGUACAGUAGUACAAUGAAAUUGGAAAAACUGUCCUACGUCGGCACUACAUAUAACACAACACGAUAUGACACAUCACAACGUAACAAACAACACAACACAGUAACACACUGCUUCCUUCUAUUGCGUCACACAUUGCUUUAAGUUUUUCAGUGUCCAGUUAUUUUUUACUGCUGUUUAAAUUCUCUGAAUGUUUGAC